RNAcentral lists this long non-coding RNA (331 nucleotides) under Trifolium pratense (red clover). RNAcentral describes it as "long non-coding RNA (TPRA_LNC010626)". Lineage: Eukaryota; Viridiplantae; Streptophyta; Magnoliopsida; Fabales; Fabaceae. The record is from RNAcentral.
GUUGGAAAAAUAUGACAUAGAAUUAUUUCAAUAAUAAUAAAUCAAAGAAAUAUUAGAACAAAUAAAUAUGACUAAUAAUAAAUUAAAUUAGAGAAGAAGAAAAGCUUAUCGAUUUUGACUGAGGCGUGCAAAUUGCACUGGGCUUAAGAGUAUUUCGCCGCCACAGGUAAGUUACCCGGUGCAGUUGGCCUCAUAGCUAAUACUCUCCAGGAUACAACAGUCACAUCUUGCUAGCACUGCACGUGAAUUAGCAAGGUCUCAACGAACUCCUUUUGGAUGCUCAUGGGAACUUAGUAUUAUUAUUUUAGUAAUAUAAUUUGUUGUAUCUCCU